This is a long non-coding RNA of Daucus carota subsp. sativus, 2682 nucleotides long. RefSeq lists it as uncharacterized. The record is from RefSeq and is a predicted model, not a curated record. The transcript is spliced from 6 exons. NCBI's taxonomy places the organism in Eukaryota, Viridiplantae, Streptophyta, Magnoliopsida, Apiales, Apiaceae.
UUAAACUCAUCAACCAUUCACGGAAAACAUACAAAAGAAAAAGCUGUACUCACCCUAUUUUCAAAACUUUGUUGCCUCUUAUAUCCGGUAUCCUAACAAGUCACGUUUUUGUUACUGUACUGCUCUUUCUUAAACUUUGUCUCACUGCUGUGUACCAUCUCAGUAUCCUCACCCCCAUUUAUAUCCAUUUUGGUCUAUGAUUUCAAAUUCAAAAUUUAUAGAUCUGUCUUUCGUUCUCAUCUACCGUCAUUUUUAUGGCUGUCUUGGUUUACAUUCUUGAAGAACUAUGAAAGAGAUGGGAGAUCUUUCUGUUGAGGUUAGCGAGGGAAAUCGCUUUGCUGCUCAGGAAGCCAAGGGGAAGGCUGUAGAAGCAAUUCUGAAGGGAACAGUUACAAGAUUUGGGCAUUAAAAAUUGAAAACUCUGAGCAUACCCGCACAACGAGCAGCAUGAGAUGAAUCUUAAUGUCACACCUAGAGGAAGAAGGUUGUUCUACACCACACCUCUCAAGGUUGUUCUACACCACACAUCUGAAGGCAUUGUCGAAUCAGAAAUUCAGCGAGUUUCGAAAAAAUCUGAACUUUAAGCUUUAUGCUCAUUCCUUGAUUGGAGUAGGAGUUGCUUCAAGUUUGUACCAUGCUUCAAGAGGCAGAUUAAGAACAUAUUUAAGAUGGGCUGACUAUGCAACAAUUGCUACUGCUACUGUGGCCACUCGCUUAUGUUAAAUGAGAAUUGAGCUAGACACAACCACACCCGAUCUGAGAUCACGAUUAAGUGUUUUCCUGCUAUCGGCUUGGAGAGAGAUUGUAAAUAAUUAUAUCCUCUGGUGAAACCCUCAAUGUUGAAGCCAGGCAAAUGCUCGGAUGGGAGAAACAGAUUCCAAAGCUUUUUGUGCAGAAAUUAGACAAGGACGGGAUACCAAAAAACAUAAUUGAGUAUGCUUCACAUUUUUCUGAAGUAGUCGCUGAAGGCUUAAUGUGGGAGAAUGAAGAUCACACACGUCAGCUGGCAGACCUUAUAAGGUUGGGUUUUCUCGUGGAAUUCAAUGAGGGACCAUGUAUCUCAUGAAGACGAAGUCUGCAGACUUUUUUGGAGGAUGAAGCAUUCAUUUUUUGCCACCUUUCCUGAUGAAUAGGUACGCUAUCCUAUCUUAACUAGAAGUUAUAUCGUCUCAAAUUAGUCUGCAAUACUGAUCGUUCUUGUGCCCAGUAUUUGAGAUCCUUACAUCUGAUUAGAUAGAUUAUUCACAGUAGUGCAGUUACAUAUAGUCAUUAGGAAUUGCAAAGUCCUCCAGAAAUGCAUUUUUUUUACUACUGUUGAGAGUGAUAUUAAAGACACAAUUUGUACAUCCUGGAUAUAAAAACACAUGCAUAUUCUCUAUGUAUUUCCUACAACAUAGCAUAUGUUAGAUAUGUGAUAACUUGAGCUCAGUAUAUAUAGGUCUCAGUGUCUCUAUAUAACUUAUUACCUCAAUUCUCAGUUGUUAUGAUGUGUGAACAAAUUUUCAGGCUACUAAUCUUCACUUUAGAGGACAAGGAUUUUUCUUGCUAUUAUUUAGGGCCUAUUAGCAAAAGGAAUGAAGGAUGCAAUAAAUGUAUGUUACAGUUAGUUAUUAGUGCUUCCCUCUUAUAUUUAAAUGUUCUUAUUAACUCUGUAGUCUGUAAGCCUUUUAAUUGCAGACAAUAAUUUCUGGCUGUUCGGACGGGGGAUUAGCUUCCAUAUUGCAUUAGAUGAUUUGUUGCAUUAGAUGAUUUGUAAGCCUUUCAUCAUGUCACAGUAUAAGACUAAGGCCUUCAUCUCCUUACUUGCUUCAUUAGUUGUUUGCAUGCUACUGUAAACUAAAUAUUAUUGCUUAUUUUUAUGGUAGGUUCUGUGUUUAACAACUCUCCCCAGUGUAAUGAAGCUCGAUCAAGUGGUUUGUCAAAUAUUUCACCCAAAGCCACUUUAAAACAUCAUUUUCAGGAUAGCAUCAAAUUUGGAAGUAUAUGUUUUCUUCAAUAUUUACUCAAUUUCCAAAUUAUAUAUUUAUGUAAAUACUCUUCCAAAUGUUCUCAACCAUUUUUGGUUUAACUUAUGGAUUUUAGAGACAUCCUGAUUUUUUGAUGUCCAUCCUGGCAAAAAUAGGUCAGCUGUUGAUAAUUUUUUAUCUUAUUUUCUUUAAUUCGAGUUCUCUUUCAAAUCUUGUGAAUUUUCCUACAUUGAUGGGCAGGAAUAGAAGCAUUAGUCCUCCUAGGAUAUUGAGCAGAAGUAGUUUGAGUCCAAAAUCAAGCUUGAUAAAGAACCCGAGCAUGAGCCCUAGAAUAAGCAUGACCCCUGAUAGGAGCAUGAGCAGAAGUGUUAGUGGAAGCCAUCACGUGUCAUUUGUGGAAGCAGGAGUUUUAGCAAAAGUCCUAUUAAAAGUGGAAGUAGUCCUGCUAGAAGUUUAACCAGAAGCCAUGCAAGUCCCUUCUAAUGUUGUAAUUACUUCUUCCUUUUGUUUAUUGUGCAAGUAAGAAUAUGAUGAUGUAUGCGGCCACCUGUUCCAUGCUGGAAGAUUGAAGUGGUAUAGAUUGAGAGAAAGCCAAGGAAUACAAAUUAAGUAUCAAUAGUCUUUGCCUUUUUCUCUGACUCUCUACAGAAACAAUGUACUAACAAUAUACCGAAUUAUAUGCCAGAGUGUUGUUUAAUAUAAGUUGUUAUAUCUU